GAUGAACGCUGACAGAAUGCUUAACACAUGCAAGUCAACUUGAAUUUGGGUUUUUAACUUAGAUUUGGGUGGCGGACGGGUGAGUAACGCGUAAAGAACUUGCCUCACAGUUAGGGACAACAUUUAGAAAUGAAUGCUAAUACCUGAUAUUAUGAUUUUAGGGCAUCUUAGAAUUAUGAAAGCUAUAAGCACUGUGAGAGAGCUUUGCGUCCCAUUAGCUAGUUGGAGAGGUAACAGCUCACCAAGGCGAUGAUGGGUAGCCGGCCUGAGAGGGUGAACGGCCACAAGGGGACUGAGACACGGCCCUUACUCCUACGGGAGGCAGCAGUGGGGAAUAUUGGACAAUGGACCGAGAGUCUGAUCCAGCAAUUCUGUGUGCACGAUGAAGUUUUUCGGAAUGUAAAGUGCUUUCAGUUGGGAAGAAAAAAAUGACGGUACCAACAGAAGAAGUGACGGCUAAAUACGUGCCAGCAGCCGCGGUAAUACGUAUGUCACGAGCGUUAUCCGGAUUUAUUGGGCGUAAAGCGCGUCUAGGUGGUUAUGUAAGUCUGAUGUGAAAAUGCAGGGCUCAACUCUGUAUUGCGUUGGAAACUGUAUAACUAGAGUACUGGAGAGGUAAGCGGAACUACAAGUGUAGAGGUGAAAUUCGUAGAUAUUUGUAGGAAUGCCGAUGGGGAAGCCAGCUUACUGGACAGAUACUGACGCUAAAGCGCGAAAGCGUGGGUAGCAAACAGG
Molecule: ribosomal RNA, 735 nt
Filed under: uncultured Fusobacterium sp.
Lineage: Bacteria; Fusobacteriati; Fusobacteriota; Fusobacteriia; Fusobacteriales; Fusobacteriaceae
Description: bacterial SSU rRNA
Rfam family: Bacterial small subunit ribosomal RNA
Source: RNAcentral